UAUUAAUAAAAUUAAUUAAUUAAUGUUUUAUUUGUGUUUGAGUGCAAGUAAUCCAAGAGAUUCAAUAACGCAGGUUUCAGCCCAAUGCCCCGGCAGCUCGAGCUCAACAAAUUUNNNNNNNNNNNNNNNNNNNNNNNNNNNNNNNNNNNNNNNNNNNNNNNNNNNNNNNNNNNNNNNNNNNNNNNNNNNNNNNNNNNNNNNNNGUCGUCUGUUUAGGAACAAACCCAAACUCCCAAACCGGCUCUUUAAUUCAACCGCGUUUCAAAAUUCCGUCUCCUCAGCUUCCCAACGUUCGUCAUCUAAGCCGCGUCUCAUCCUGAGUAAAUUCCAGCCGAUGGAAGAGGAGGAAGCCAUCUGGUGAGGAGUCUUCUCAACACCCCAACAGUCAUCUUCUUCCACGCUUCCCAGCCGCAUCCCAACGUCCGUCCAUGGCAUCUCAAGCGUUGUGGCAUCAAACAGCCGCAUGGCUUCUUGUCUCCCAACCGGAUCAUUUCAAGCAACAGUGGAAGCAUCCCAGCAGCCGAAGAGUCCCAAGCGAUUCGACUUCAUCUAAUCCGCGUCUCAUCCACUCCCAGCAGCGUUUCAGCUUCUCCGAUCGCUUCUCCUCCUUCAAACAUGCUGAAAGUGUCUAUAAAAGGAAUCGGGAAGGGGCUACCAGGGGGAUCAUCCGGUGGAGGCAGGAGGACACGGAUCAAGGGACGGAAGAAGGAAACCAGAGGUCUCCCAAACAACUGCAGGCCUUCUUCCGAUUUUUCUCAGCCGAGGGAGAGAGGAGAAGAGGAUAGCCGGCCGUGCGACGAAGGAGGAAGAGGCCAAGGGAACCAGCAAGCAAAANNNNNNNNNNNNNNNNNNNNGAUCCGUCUUCUCAGCCGGGCGAGAGAAGGAGGAGAAGCAUCGGGAGGAGAAAAGAAAAGAAAAGAAAGAAAACAGAGAAGAAAGGGAUUUAUGUUUUCUUAAGAGAAGAAAGGGAAAAAAAAGGGAUUUAUGUUUUAUUUUAUUUAUUCUAUGCUAAUCCCUUUUAUAAAAUUGCUUGCAUCUCAUAUGGAUAGCUAAAUCUUUUUUUAGCUAAGGCUAGGGAAAAGCCUAGCAUUUUCUUCAUGUAUUUCCUUUAAUCAUCAAUUGGAUUUUAAUGUUUUUGAUUUGAUUUAUGGUGCAGUGGAUUGAUAGAAAUUAUUUCAAACUUAUAUAUUUUCUUUGAUUUGUUAUUUCCCCCGGGUAUAACAGAUGCUUAGAAAUCCAUGUAGUUUAAAAUAGAAUUACUGUAAUGCUGCCCAUAAAACUAAAUCUAUUUUAUUAUGAUUAAUUGAUGAUUUUAAGAAAUGCAUGAUUAAGUGCUAGGCUGAAUCCUAAUGCCUUAGUUAUAUUUUUGUCAAUCUGAAUAUUAUUUAGCCUUUAGUUUUUGUUCACUGUCAAAUCCCUGUGGAUUCGAUCUCGGUCUCACCGAGAAUAUUACUUUGCUACGCCCUAUACUUAGGGUAUUCUACAUUUAAUUUUCUUUUUAAAAGAGCAAGAUUAAAGUCGUAGCACCGGCUGCCUAUGAGAUCAGUGCUGUGAGGGCAGGGUCUGGACAUUCACCCUUAGUACCCAGGGUGCCAGUUGGAUGAGACCAUGGACCAUGUGUUGUUCCAAUGAAAGCGAGAUAGGAGGGUGUGGGGGCUCGUUGACAUCCUAUCGGAGGCACGGUGCCACUCGGGCCCCUUCCUACAGGCGCUCAGACGGUGGGCCAUCACCCCUCAGACUCAACUGAUGGCUAUUGGAGCAGUUUAUACGACUUACCAUAUCUGGCUGGCCAGGAAUGUCUGAAUUUUUGGAGAGAGCAACCCUUCACCUAGGUUCAUUGUGGAGUAAGCCCGGGCUCAGGCAGUUGAGGCCACUCGUACUAGUCCAUCGGAUGGGCCUUUGAUAGUUUAAGGUGCGUGGGGCUCUACUUCUGCUCUUGUAACGCAUCGUACGGUGUUUUUCACCUGAGAACCUCUACCUCCAAGUUUUCUCAAGGUCAAUUUUGAUGGAUGCGUGCUUGAUGAGGGCAGGAGAAGUGCAGACUUCGUCAUCAGGAGCCCGAACUUCAGGGUGGUUGCUGCCGGCGUAUGCUAGAUCUUUGACACUUCUGUUCCGAAGGCAGAGUUGAGAGCAACAUGGGCUGACCUGAGUUAUGCAUAGCGCGCCUUGUGGGUCAAAGCAGUUUGGCUAGAGGAUGAUUCGACCACAGUGAUCGGCUGGAUCCAUGGGGCAUCGGUGGCGUGGAUGGAUGCCACCCCCUGCUCCAAAACAUCCGAGCCAUAGUGAGAGGCGAUGUUGUAUUGCAGGCAGGACACGUGUACAGAGAAGCCAAUGAAGCCGCAGAUUGGAUGGUCUCGUAUGUGGCAGAUCACUUCGAGGGACCCUAUGGGUCGGAAAACGGGAGUUACAUAGAGCACUUCAAGAUGUAUUAUUUUUGACUUUUUUAUAUGUAUCCAUAGCUAUCUGCUGCAGUAAAAAAAAAAGAAAUAAACCAUCAUUAUAUCUUUAACAGUAGAGUUAGCGGUAUUUUUGCCGACAAAUGUGCAUCAAUUUGAGUGCUUAUUUCCCCAUGAGAUCGGUGGUAAAAAUAUUUUAACCCAUUACUCUAGUGCAAUCCGCAGCCUCUGAUCAGUACUCCCCAGACAACUAUGUCAGGCUCCACUGGCUUUACUUCGAAUAGCCUCUCUAGGCCUCCACUACCCAAGAGGUCCUGUACUCCCUCUGCAGAGGUACCUUUCCCCUUUCUCGAUCAGUCCACCAUGUCGUCGAGAUGCAAAGUAGCUUCACCACGCGGUCGGGUUGAACAACAUCCUCUUCCUUCAUCUCAAAUGCUUCCACUUCAAGUGCUCAUGCCUCGCGUUGCUCCCGAUCGUGGAGCUACAUCAUACCAGAUUUCCGCAGAAUAGAUGUCCCCUCGUUUGCUGGGAGUCCAAACUUCGAUCAAUUACCAAGCCAGUGCUGGAAAAGUUGCCAAACCCUAGAGGCUUCUUGUGCUUUCAUGCAUAAUAUGUAAGGAGGAGCAUGCCAUGUUCUUUUGCAGGUGGCUUCCAUCGGCUGCAACAUUUGAUAUUAACAAAACGGCUAACUAGAUUUAGAGGAAUGGAAGGCGGAGGUUGGGAAAAUGCACAUCCUUAUCCACUUAGCUAUCAAAUACUGCUGGAAUUUGAAGAUGCUUCAUUCAUAUGCCCAAAAAUCAAGAUCAAAAAAGGAGUAUGAGGUCCUCCAAUAACGUCCCCUCCAUCAUCUUUUGAAUAACAGCUACUUGUAAGUCUCUCUCUCUCUCNNNNNNNNNNNNNNNNNNNNUACUCUCUCUCUCUCUCUCUCUCUCUCUCUCUCUCUCUCUCUCUCCACCGUUUCCUCCCCUUGUUGCUUGUUAUUCUCUGCAUUUCCACCUCUCAAAAUUCUACUAAGAAAAUAAUCUUCUCUUAAGAUUGAUACACUCAAAGCAUGCCACAUGUUUGACAUAAUAUCGUGCAGAGUAUUAUGAUUUGCAGAGCCUUAUUCCAGAAUUAUAUAAAAUCUUAAUGCCUCAAAAUGGCAUUCUAUGCUAUUAUGGUGCAUAAAACAUUUUAUUUCUACCGGCUGAAAUGCUGGUCUAGGAGCAGCAGUUCUGAUGGGGAACUUGACAAAAAUCUGAUUCUAAAAUUCUUUCCCUCUCUAGCUUAGAACAAGUCAGACUAAAAUUUCAGCACUUAGAAUGUUCAAAAGAUUAGAAGGAAAAGUUUAUUGAUUUUGUAUAAUUCCGGAAUAAAGCUCUGCAAAUCACAUUAUAUUAUGUCAAACCUGAGGCAUGCUACAAUUACUUGUGCUUUGAGUGUAUUCAAUCUCAUAAAAAGCAUGUUCCGUUGGUAGAAUCUUGAGGGUUGGAAAAGCAGAGAAUAACAUGGAACAAGGGAAGGAAAUAGAAGAGAGAGGGGAGCGACUUACAAGGGAAGGAGGAGACAUGUUGGACCUUGUACCCCUCCUCCUUUCUGACCCUAUCAUUGAACUCUUGGGCACGCAAAUCAGCUUCAGUUCCUAAAGGGUGGUCACUUUGAUGUGAUCCUGUGGGAAGCAUCUUCAAAUUCUGGCAGUACUCGAUGGUUAAGUGGGUGAGGCUGCGCAUCACGCCAACCUCCACUCUCCAUUCCUCUGAAUCUAGAAGUAUUGUCAAUAUCAAGUAUUGCAGCCGAGGAAAGCCAUCAGGUGAAGAACAGGACAUGCUCCUCUUUGCAUACGCAUGGAAACACAAUGAAAGAAGCCUAAGGCUUGGCAGCUUCUCCAGCACUGGCUUGAUAACUGAUGUCCACGAAACCACGUUCCUCCUCUCAGACAUCCGAUCGAAGCACUGCUUUGGCUGAGUCGCCCGCGCGUUUGUAGCCAGCCAGCAUUGCGUUCCAUGAGACGACAUCUCUAUGAGGCAUUUUGUCGGACAGCUUCUCUGCAUACUUGAUGUCUUGGAAAAUUUUGGCUGCAUCGAUUCGGUGACCAUGACGAAGAUGGAGUUGGGUUAUUUGUGAUGGUACCGCAUCAAGACUGGGGUACUGGUGAUGGAGGGAUGAUGACCGUCUAUCGGCUACGGUAAGCCCUUGGGUAUAUCAAGGUUAUGAAAGAUGUCCAUGUUCUUUAUGACCUAAUGUGCGACUGCUAUUUGUGCUCAUAAUAUUUGCAGAAUAAAGUAGUCCUCCAUGUAUCCGAUAAUUAAAGCAGUCCUCCAUGACACCAAGUUCUUGACCAGGAUUUCAUCGAACACCCACCGACGAGCAUUUGGGUGUUUCAAACUCGCCACAGCCGCCGCCGAUCAGAGCAUCUCCAGGCAAAUGUAAUUGAAUCAAAUGCCAUGCGAAUUUUGACGGCAUGAUGCUGCGGAACCACCACAAAGCUGGCUACAGCAGCAGUGAUAACAGCGGCCAGUGUUGAUCCUGACCGGACCAUCUCCAAGAAAUAGCUGAACACUUCGGCUGAGUCGCCGGCGCGUUUGUAGCCAGCCAGCAUUGCGUUACAUGAGACGACAUCUCUAUGGGGCAUUUCGUCGAACAGCUUCUCUGCAUGCUUGAUAUCUCGGAAAAUUUUGGUCGCAUCGAUCAGGUGGCCAUGACGAAGAUGGGUGGCGAUGAUGGAGUUGGGUUAUCUGUGAUGGCAGCGCAUCAAGAUUGGGGUAUUGGUGAUGGAGGGAUGAUGACUAUCAGCUACGGUUAGCCCUUGGGUAUAUCAAGGUCAUAAAAGAUGACCAUGUUCUUUAUGACCUAAUGUGCGACUGCUAUUGUGCUCAUAAUAUUUGCAGAAUAAAGUAUUAUUUCUACACAAGUAUGAGAGCUGGGGUUGGGCAAUUAAACCCCUCGUUAAAUCUUUAACAGUGGAGUUGACAGUAUUUUUGCCUACAAAUGUGCAUCAAUUUUAGUGCUUAUUUUCCUAUGAGAUCGGUGGUAAAAAUAUUUUAACCCAUUACUCUGCCCUGCUCAAGUUUUGGUAGACACCAGCCUUGACGUAGUCUGGCUUUUUUUAUAAACAAACAUAAGGUUCAUGCGGACAGUGACUUUGUCAAAAAUAAUGCUGUUAUUUUGUAGUUUUCAUGAACAAUUACCCCUUAAGAUGAUUCAGAACAGCCUUCUAUUUCAUAAAUCGUAAUAUUUUCAACAAAAAAAAAUGCAAUCAACAAGGUUGUAAUGUGCAAUAGCAGCAAACAUAGGUUGCCUUCAUAACAAGAUACAAUCACCACUGAAACCUUGGUUCAAAGGCCCGGUGUUAGAUUGAAACUAUGGAAGUUCGCAUAGAAGCAAUAAAACACUGCUACCAUAAUGAGAGUUAUCAAAGAUCCAAAUCAAUUUUAUAAAACAUUUCAGGUCAGAUUUGAUAGAAGCUAUAUAUAUUAGAUAAAGCAUUUAACACGGCCCACACCUUGUUUAGCUGACAAUAUUACCCAUAUACCUUGGAUCAAAUACUGUGAACACUUCUUUCAUGUAUUUCUAGUCAUCUGGUUCUCACCUACAAAAACUUGUAUCACAGAAGAAAACUGAACAAGAGCAGCAAUACACUAAGAUAGAAGGACUACCUAGCUAUCUUCUCAGCCUUUAAUGUUUUCGCUUUUCUACUCACACCAUCAUUUCUAUCAUCCUUGUCAUCGUCGCCAACAAAAAUAAUAUUACCACCGUCAUCAACAUCAUCUACUUCCAACUCACCUUCAUCAUCCCAGUCUUUGCCUUCACCAUCGAACUCAUCAUCUUCAUAUUCCUCGUCCAGCAUGCCCUGUUGAGCACGUACAGUGUGGUACUCUGGUGGGGGAGGACAGUCCUCUGUGAUUGGCUCAUCACGCUUGAUCACAAGAUGCCGAAUGAUCCGUUCAUCUUUGUCCAGCAUGCUCUUGAAGUCAUUGAUUAAUUUGGCUUCCAGCUCAAAGUUCAUCAAAAUAUAGUUGGCGUUCUUUGCCUUCCUUAUCUUAUAAGCAAGUCGUCUAAGCCCCCAAUUGUUCAGCCUCCAAAUCCUUCCUUUUCUCUCCCUGAUAAAAUCUGCGAUGACGGAGAAACGAAUAAUUUGUUGUUAAGUAGUUAGUACAUGAAAUAAUCCAUUAACCAUUAGAUAAACAAUUCCAAACACAAUUUUUUCCUUCACAAUUUAUUUUAUACUUAUGUGGAAAACAAAAAGUUGGGGCAUGAAGAAUUGAAAUGAUACCAGCAAUGUUUAUUCUUUCCAAUCUGAAGGAGACAAACAAAGCCAGGCAUGCAUCAAGCAGGAUUGGCUGCCGUUCAUGGAGAAACUAGGUGGCUUUAGCCUACAUAUGCAUGCAAAUAUAGGCACAUUCUGAGGACAUUGAAGUCUAGUCAAAAUGGUGAUCAUGCCAACCUUGAAUUGAAGAUGAAAUAGAAGACUCAGAAAGGUAUGACAGUUCACUCUUCAAUUUGGAGUUUGAUCUUUAUAUUGCUCGACUCACUGAAAGGUUUGACAUUUCCUUCCAAUGUUCUACCAGAAAGCUAGAGGAAAUCACACUUGAGCUUCCUGUACCACUCCAAUGAAAAAGGAUAAAGCACAUAGUAGGCAGCCACAAAUGUUCCACGUGAAGAUGAACUGCAGAGAAAGCAUGCUUGGAUCUUCAGUUUGUCAGAUCCUCCUAAAAAUGGUGACCCAGGAAGAUCUUCCAAGGUUUUCAGAUCCAACAAGCAUUUCAAGCCCAUCAUUAACCAUCCUCUACUAGGUUAUUGAAUGUCCUUAAGGCAGACAUUUAAAAAGCCUCUUUCAUCCAUUACAUCUAACACUCUCUUAAGAUCCAGAUUUACCCUAAUUAGAAGGCAAGAAGCUCAUUCACCUGCAUAAAAACCAUUUAAGUUCCUUAAAUUAUACAUCACAAUUCCCUGCACUCAAGACCAGUGCAAACUUUUAACUCACUGUUUUUGCAAAAGCCAUGAAAGAGAAGGAAAACAAGCUGUGACAGAUUCUCCUAGAGAUAAAUAGUAUUGGUGGCCUCAGCGACCCAAAAAUACUAAUCUGAUAAACUGUAACAAUCUGCAAGUAGGAAACAAAUGUGGGAAACAAAAACAGAAGUGGACAUCUUUCCAAUGGAUACCAAGUAUUAAUGACAACAAAGAAAUUCUGUCAAGUUAAUUCUUGAGUGCAUUUCUAGAGCAUCACCAAUAAGAUUACCUGAGUCAAUCAAUUAAGAACUACCCCACAAAGUUCAAACCUAGAACUUAUCCCAAAUGGAUAAGCGCUGCAACCGCUGGGGUAAAGGCCAGUUUGCCGAAGAAAAUGAGAGUUCACAGGGUAUAGCUUUGUAAUAAUAACUGAAUUAUGAAACCUUUUUUUCCUAUUCCACUUUUAAUAUGGUUGUUGACAUCAUAUAUAUAAUCAAACAAACGAAACUUGAUAUCAAGUAUCGGUCUUUAUGAAAGCAGAAACACAAAAAGCAGAGUGCCUAAUUAAGGUUUAACUAGAAGGCCACCAAACACAAAAAUGAAACAACGUAAGAAGCUACAUCAUCAUUCCUAUCAUCUUAGUUAUUAUCUUUUAUGAUAAUAAAAUAGUCAAAAUUAUGUGCCCAUUAACAUGGAAAUGCAGAGAACAAAUCAUGAGAGAAAUCAACUAGUCCAAAAAGCACCUUGCACUUUUGAUAUGACACUUUCAACCUCAUCCACAUGAUCUUCAUGAAUUAAAUAAACCACCUCAUAAUGACGCACUGCCAAGAAAGAAACACAAGUAAGCAUAUAGCAGGAAAAACUGGAUAUAUACAGGUCUACAUAAGUAUCUGAAGAGAAUCUAUGAAUAGCUUUCAUCAUUGUUACUUUCAUAAAUUAUAUCAAGAAAAGGACAACUUUCAUAAUAAACCUUACAAUCCUAAUAGUACACUAUGCAUACCAUGUCAGAGAACUAAUUAGGACAAAAAAUCCAGAUACUGCAUCAUUUCUCCAAAAUAAGUUUAUAUGGUUCAUGCCUUCUUAAAGAGGAAGGAGUGAAUUUUAAAUGUUUUAAAUGUUUGUAGGAACAACUUUGUACAGGUAUAUAUAGAAGAAAGUAUGAGGGCAGUGAUAAAUGACAGAAUUUGCUACUGCUUUUGCAAGGUGAUAAGGAGAAAAAGAUAGACGAUAUAUAGACCUACAGAAGAUGAUGGAACAUGAGAAAACACUCUAUAAGCAAGUGGCAGAAAUAAAGAAUCAAACGAUCUCACAACAUUUUUAUAAGAAGCAUCUACCUGUAACAAGAUACAUUCUGCGAUCUGAUUGUACACACAAUACCUGUCUUUGAUAACCUUCUUAAAGACUUCGUGUUUCUCUUUUUGCGCCCUUUUCCACAUUACCUGAGGGACACUGUUAGAAGCCUCUAUCCCUCAAAAGGCAGAUGAUUGAAUGUACUUAGCCUUCCCUACACACCCUGACAGAAAAGUGUGACAAGCUAACCUUUUAAUGAAAACCUCCCUAUGAACCAUAUCAGAGAAACAAAUGAGACACCAUGUCUUCCUCAAAUCCACAAAGAAACACUUGAUAUUGACAUUAAUGCACCUAUUAAAAUGAAAUCCAAAUGAAUGUCUCAAUUUUAUGAGGUACUAAACAUGCCAUUCGGAAGUGAUGCUCCAACCACCAACUGUUAAAAUGAGAAUGGUACCAAGUCACUCUAACUGAAAUAAUUCCCUAGCAUCAAUCCCUUUAGCACCUGCCACAAAACUUUUUCCCCUGAUUGGGCUCAUAGAUACUGGUAGUAAUCCGCAAGAUUAAUUCUCCAUAUCAUAACUAGAAUGGAAACCACAAACCCACCAUCCUCCAUUCUCAUCU
RNAcentral lists this long non-coding RNA (9236 nucleotides) under Phoenix dactylifera (date palm). RNAcentral's name for it is "long non-coding RNA (PDAC_LNC003785)". The record is from RNAcentral. Lineage: Eukaryota; Viridiplantae; Streptophyta; Magnoliopsida; Arecales; Arecaceae.